RNAcentral lists this ribosomal RNA (471 nucleotides) under Triticum aestivum (bread wheat). RNAcentral's name for it is "partial small subunit ribosomal RNA". Lineage: Eukaryota; Viridiplantae; Streptophyta; Magnoliopsida; Poales; Poaceae. The record is from RNAcentral.
AUGGAUUUUACCAUUCUGAAUUGGAAUGUGAGGGGACUGAAUAAUCUGGCGAAGAGGAGGGCUGUGCAACUGUUUGUGGCUGGCCUAAACUACAACAUAGUCUGUCUGCAAGAAACAAAGAUCUGCGACAUGACCAGGAGCAUAGUGGUUGAGGCUCUGGGACCGAGAUUUGGGGAACAUUUCAUCGCUCUGCCAGCGGUUGGAUCCAGAGGAGGAAUUCUAAUUGUUUGCACUGACGACCAUGAAUUAAUGGCUGAACCAUUGGCAGCGGGACUGCAUUCUGUCUCUGAAACGAUCAGAAACAAGACAGUCGGGCAAAGAUGGUCAAUAACCGGGGUCUAUGGGCCGCAGGCGGAGGCUGACAAGUUGGCAUUCAUUGAUGAGAUCAAGUCGAUCAAGCAACACCUGCUGCCCAGGUGGAUGAUCCUCGGAGACUCUGUCGGGCAAGUGACAAGAGCAACUCUAACAUAA